Long non-coding RNA from Mytilus californianus (California mussel), 585 nucleotides. RefSeq lists it as uncharacterized. The transcript is spliced from 3 exons. NCBI's taxonomy places the organism in Eukaryota, Metazoa, Mollusca, Bivalvia, Mytilida, Mytilidae. The record is from RefSeq and is a predicted model, not a curated record.
AUCACGUAAACAUGGAUGCUAACACUACUAAUAUGAGCACCGAAAGCUAUAUUGACUGUGGUAAUACAAGUGAUUUCAUGUUAGACAAUGAUACGUGUUCAACUAACAGCUAUACGGAUUAUAACACAAAUUUAAGUUCAUUAUAUGGUUCUCUAAAAUGGAUAGCAUUGUGUCUGCUAAUUGGUAUCUUGUCAAUGAACAUUAUAGUCAUCAUUCUAUUAUUCGCCAGCAAACGGAAGUCAAGAAUGGGAUUUUUCGUCAAGAACUUAGCAUUUUCAGAUCUUGCCGUAGGAGUAUUCUUUCUAUUACCAGAAACGACAUUCAACUGGUUUGAUCACGAAUGGACGAAGUAUAUUUGUUAUAUGUACUACGGGUAUUUUUCGAUGGUUGCUUACUAUGCGUCCACUUUUUCUAUUGUGGUUCUAUCAGUGGAUCGUCUUUAUGUUAUUAUGAGACCAGUCUCGACAGUAUCUAACGGAAGAGUCUACCGAUAUGGACUAGCACUAUCAGCAUGGAUCAUUGCAUUGGUUCUAGGAAUUCAGUAUGCUGUCUCUAUAAAAUUUUACGAAGACGACGGUGCCUGUU